ACAGUAGUCCUCUGCCUCCACCGCCCCGGGAUCUCCUUGCGCUCGGUCCUCUACGUGGAGUCACCUAUGCAGAGGAAUUCCACGGGGCGGGGGCGAGGACAGGGUGCGGGGGUCUUUAUGGCAGACAAUCCCCGGCUGAGCGCUUGGCCAGAGUUUCUGUGAUGCUAGAAUCUGGACUGCCUGCGACCUCUCCGGGACUCGGACACCAGCCCUCGCCUCCUGGUGAUCUUUUAGGUCCUGCAGAGAAGUGAAGAGAUCUCGCUCUGUCACCCAGGCUGGAGUGAAAUGGCACAAUCUUGGCUCACUGUAACCUCCGCCCCCAGGUUCGACUGAUUCUCGUGCCUCAGCCUCCUCAGUAGCUGGGAUUACAGAUGAGCCCCAGAGAGGCGAAGCCACUUGAGCUCGUGAGUGACAGUCAGAUGUCAAGCCCUGCUCUUUCUAAAGCGUGCUGCCUUCAGAAAAGAAGAGCCAGAAGGAUGGAAAUUACUUCAGAAAGAUGAAUACCAGCUUUGAAGGAAUAAAAGCUGACGAGGAAUUGAAGGAGUUGAGGCACGAGCUUGAACAGGGUUGCAUGUUUGGCCCUUGAUUGUAAAUGCCCAUUGCUGCACCUGUUCCUGUUACUUGGGGAGUUGCAGCAGAAGGAACAGCGGCCUGGGACUCCAGAGAACUGGGUUCCCUCUCAUCCCUCCAGGGCCACCACUUCUUGUGGGCCCUUGGGCAAGUCACUGUACUUUCUGAGUCUCAGUUUCCCCAUUUGCAGAAUGGAAAUAACUACCCCGGUCUACCAACUUAGAAGAAUUGCUUUGAGGAUCUGAUAAGGUGGUGUGGAUGAUGCUGCCUUGGGGGCUUUACAGUCUGGAGCUCAAGGGACCCCUUAAGUUGGGCUUACUUAGUAACUCCAGGGGUGGGCAGAACAGGACUCCAAUGAGGGUUUUUUUCUUUUUCCCUUUUUUUUCUUUUCCUAUCUCUUAACUUUUAUCUUUAUUAUUUUACAAUGCCCUUGUAAGAUGAAACAAGUGAUGCUGAAAUAUCUUUUUCUUUUUUAACCUUUAUUUUAGAAUUGGGGUACAUGUGCAGGUUUGUUACAUAGGUACAGUGUGGGCUGCUGAGGUUUGGGAGUACGAAUGAAUUAGUCACCCCAGUGGUGAGCAUAGUGCCCGAUAAGUGGUUUUUUCAACCCUUACUCCCAUCCCUCUCCAUUCUUGUGUUCCCCAGUGUCUGCUGUUCCCAUUUUUAUGACCAUGUGUACUCAAUGUUUAGCUCCCACUUAGAAGUAAGAACAUGCCCAGCACUUUGGGAGGCCGAGGUGGGUGGAUCAUGAGGUCAAGAGAUCGAGACCAUCUUGGCUAACAAAGUGAAACCCUGUCUCUACUAAAAACAUAAAAAAUUGGCCGGGUGUGGUGGUGGGCACCUGUAGUCCUAGCUACUCGGGAGGCUGAGACAGGAGAAUCGCCUGAACCGGGGAGGUGGAGGUUGCAGUGAGCUGAGAUUGUACCACUGCACUCCAGC
Molecule: long non-coding RNA, 1509 nt
Filed under: Homo sapiens (human)
Lineage: Eukaryota; Metazoa; Chordata; Mammalia; Primates; Hominidae
Description: non-protein coding OSER1-DT:38
Source: RNAcentral